This is a non-coding RNA of Struthio camelus australis, 3290 nucleotides long. Lineage: Eukaryota; Metazoa; Chordata; Aves; Struthioniformes; Struthionidae. The record is from RefSeq and is a predicted model, not a curated record.
CCCAAAUCACUCAAAAACCUAAGAGGGGACACCAGUGAUGAAAAACGUUCACCAAGUUGAAUUCUGCUUUCCUGCCUCCUUUAUAAAAGCUGGUUCACCGUGUUCUUUGUGAUUAUUGGUCUUUGGAAUGCUGAAAGGAUGAUGGAGCACUGGAGGUCCAUGCACCCAAAUCCAAUUUUGAGAGCAUGGCGGAUCUCAUCUUUAGCCAUCUCAUCAGGAGACACAUUCCUGUGGUAGUUAGUGUCCAUACAUCAUCACGAAACAAAAGCUACUCCACUGCAGGGUAACAUCGCUUUUUUAAUAAAUCCCCCCUUCUCCUUCCAAGUGAAUUGCUGGUGUUUGGGCUGUAGGGGGUGCAAGAACUCCACUGAAGCCUGCCGGUCUGAGCGGCGCAGCGGGCCAGACCUCGCGUUGAAUAGGCCUUUAUUGCCGCCACGGAGCCGCGGUUCUCUCUGAAUCUGGCCCUGCAAGAGGAGAUCAAAUCGGCAUGCGUUUUGAUGGUGUAAGCUGCAAUCCUAAACUCAAAGCUGUAAGUGAGAUCUCAGCCAAGGGAGCGAGCUUGUAUGCAUCCUGUGAAUCUCCCCCCACCAAGAAUACACCGUGCCAAAUAGGCAGAAUUGCGUCAGUCCAUUGUGGGAAGAGUUCACUACCCAGGACGAGAAUGCCAAACCAGUUUCUUCUCCUAAGAAAAUGUAGCCAAAGGAUAAAUGCAGUGUGUUAUCCCUAUAGAAAAAGAAAAAAAAAAAGUGUAUUAACAAUAAGAUCGAACUACGAUGAGGAUUUUUCUAAUUAUGAUUCCAGCUAGUAUUUUCUCUUAUCUGGGGAAUGCUAUCAGUGAUGUGUCUUGUUUUUUUUUUGUUUUGUGAUGUGCAUCAUUAUUACUAUUCAUCUAUUUUUAAAUAGUAGUACACCUCUCUGUGGAACUCCCAUGUUUUAGUAUGUCACUUAAGAGACCACUCCAUUUAAGUGAUUGUCACUUAAAUUAAUCCUAUUGUUUUGUGAUAUAUCGUCUUCUGUGCUGCCUGGAUUAGCUAGUUCAAUGACAGUGACAAACAUGCAUUGCUUGUUGUUAGAGAGGGGAGUCUCACAUGGGAAAACACCUGUACAUCCAAACUGGGACACAUGCAUUCCCCACCAGAGAGAGGGAGAGUUUUAGCAAACUGGUAUUUAUUGCUUGUUCUUGCAUGCAUGUUGUGCGUGAGUGUGUGUGUAUGUGGGUGGGGGUGGGUGUGUUUGUGAGAUACCACAGCUUGACAACAGGAAAUACGGUAUUGAAGAAAUGCUCAGGCACGUAAAGAUGUUGCUCUCUAAGGAUUAACACAGCUCCUCUGCAGUUAAAGUAUGAAUUGGUUAUUUAUAGCUCUGAAUUUUGUAACACUGAAAUUAGGGUCAAGUGUCCAAAUAUCAGCUACAAAAAAAAAAAAAAAAGGAUCCAAAUCUGCACAGACUGGGUUUAGAGUGUGAGACACCUUUUUAAAAAAAACAGUUUUGAUCCCACAGAAGUAAGUGCAAAAGCAUCAGGGGAGAAAAUGAAUUAAAUAUUUUUAUUUGAUUAUAUGGUAUCGCAUAUUUAGGAAGGAUGUUAAACGUAUAAGCAGGGCUUCACCAAUUAUCACAGGUGUAUGAGAUAUAUUUAUGAGGGAGUUAUAAUAGUUUUCGGUCUAAAAAAGAUUGUUUUCACUGUGCUAACUCUAAUACUUGCUAUGAUGUAAAGUGUAAUUGCUCCUCAGAAGUAAGUGAAAUUCAUUACUUGUAUCAGUUCACUUUACCUGAGGAAAAAAACAGUCAGUCAAUUUCUGUUCAUUUUUAUUACUUAAUUUAUUCCAGAACAAAAUUACAAAUUCAGAAAACCUGUCAGAAAUUAGUCUUCUGUAGGUAGACAGCGCUGGGAAAGAGUCAUCUUUUUGCUGCAAAUCUUUAUUGUCUACAGUUGUCCCGAGAUUCCUAUUGAAAAAUGAAUCCCAAAGAAUAAACUAGGUUUCAUUAUCAACACAAGGAGGAGCUUACAGUAGCAUUCUAAAAGGUCUAGGAAACUUUUGCAUUAACGGCUGUGCUAUUGUUUCCAGUAAGAAAUGGAAUUAUGUGAAACUGAUCAGAUCAGAAACUAGGUGAAUGGCCCAGACGAAUUUCCACAGACGCUUUUUGUAGGAAUGAAAUGUAUUUGCACCCGGUUUGUUCCAUUAUUUUUCUUUCUUUUUCAGAAGCUACAUGGUUCAGUUCUCCUAAAGGGUUGCAAAAACUGCAUUUUAAUCUAGCAUAUUUUCAUUCACUACAAGGUAAAUUUUAAGUGUGUUUUCUGUGAACAUUCAUAUAUACAGCAUAGUUAAACAAAUCAGUCAUUUAGUUAAGAAAGAGAAAACUAUCACUAGGUACAUUCCAAGAUUUCUUGGAGCUUCUAAAACUAAGCAAUUGCAAUUUCAUAUGUUAAUUUUUGCUUGACUAUGAAUCCAUUAGAAAAAAUAUGUUCCAUUCAUAGGUAAUUAAGAAAUUGGAUCCAUUUCCGGAAAUGAGCAUGAGGCAAAACAUGAGGGGAAAAAACUUUUUAAUUAAGUCUGUUUAAACCAACAUGACUCUGCUACAGGGUGAAUUAGGGCUUUUACAUGUACGUGAUACCUGUGAUAAUUAUAUGGGGACAUCUUGCAUUACGAUAUGUAGCUAUAUAGGCUUGAUUUGUUCAGAGAGUCUUUUUCCUAUUCCUUUUGUAUGGGAGAACUGAUGCUUUCAAAUGCGUGUUUUAUAUUACAUUACAGAAUUUCAUGAGUUGUUGUUUUUUUUUUUUCUUGUAGAAGUUAGAACCAUUACCCAUAUGCAUGAUUUUGUUUGUCAUUUUUCAUCAGGAGCUGCCAUAAAGUACAUUUUAAUCAUAUUUAUUAAAAGCAGUUGCCUCUUAUGAUAAAGCUAUUUUUGGACAAGGUGAGAUAGACUUUUCUCUAGCAACUACUUCUGUUAAUAAUGACAUGGGUUUUCCCGGAUAAAAUCAUUCAGAAAGAAUCAUGGUUAUUAAUGAUUUGCUAGAUGAAAGCAUAUCAAAAUAGAAUUUUUUGAAACUCAUAACUUUUAUUCUAUUUUAAAUUUCUUCAGCCAUGUGUUACACUUGUGAGCCAAAAACACUAAAACUUUUUCAUCCUGAUUAAAGAUUGACGUGCAUAACUCUUCAUGCUUCGAAAUGAAAAUAAGCCUCUUAGAGCAAUGGCUUCUAACAACCAAAGAGCCACUGAAAAAUCACAAAGACGCAAGCAAGUCAAAAACACAAAAAUUGUCUGUGACAAUUUUAUUAAAAAAUAGGAAUG